RNAcentral lists this ribosomal RNA (496 nucleotides) under uncultured bacterium. RNAcentral describes it as "partial 16S ribosomal RNA". It matches the Rfam family "Bacterial small subunit ribosomal RNA", at positions 29 to 507 of the family's 1533-position model. The record is from RNAcentral.
AUGAACGCUGGCGGCGUGCCUAAUACAUGCAAGUCGAGCGAACAGACGAGGAGCUUGCUCCUCUGACGUUAGCGGCGGACGGGUGAGUAACACGUGGAUAACCUACCUAUAAGACUGGGAUAACUUCGGGAAACCGGAGCUAAUACCGGAUAAUAUAUUGAACCGCAUGGUUCAAUAGUGAAAGACGGUUUUGCUGUCACUUAUAGAUGGAUCCGCGCCGCAUUAGCUAGUUGGUAAGGUAACGGCUUACCAAGGCAACGAUGCGUAGCCGACCUGAGAGGGUGAUCGGCCACACUGGACCUUCGACACGGUCCAGACUCCUACGGGAGGCAGCAGUAGGGAAUCUUCCGCAAUGGGCGAAAGCCUGACGGAGCAACGCCGCGUGAGUGAUGAAGGUCUUCGGAUCGUAAAACUCUGUUAUUAGGGAAGAACAAAUGUGUAAGUAACUAUGCACGUCUUGACGGUACCUAAUCAGAAAGCCACGGCUAACUACGUG